This 381-nucleotide ribosomal RNA is filed under the name uncultured bacterium. RNAcentral describes it as "bacterial SSU rRNA". It matches the Rfam family "Bacterial small subunit ribosomal RNA", at positions 28 to 404 of the family's 1533-position model. The record is from RNAcentral.
GAUGAACGCUAGCGGCAGGCUUAAUACAUGCAAGUCGAGGGGCAGCAUGAGUGUAGCAAUACAUUUGAUGGCGACCGGCAAACGGGUGCGGAACACGUACAGAACCUUCCUUCGAGCGGGGAAUAGCCCAGAGAAAUUUGGAUUAAUACCCCAUAGUAUAACAGAGUGGCAUCACUUUGUUAUUAAAGAUUUAUCACUUGAAGAUGGCCGUGCGGCUGANAGAUAGUUGGCGGGGUAACGGCCCACCAAGUCUGCGAUCAGUAACUGGUGUGAGAGCACGACCAGUCACACGGGCACUGAGACACGGGCCCGACUCCUACGGGAGGCAGCAGUAGGAAUAUUGGUCAAUGGAUGGAAGUCUGAACCAGCCAUGCCGCGUGC